AGCAGGUAGAGUUGACAAGAUAAGAGGACUGUGGUCUGAACCAAUGGCUGGUAAAGCUGUAACUUCAGCAUUCGGGUAAAAGCGCACCCUUUGGCUUCCAAGUCCAUUAGUGAACAUGCAUAUAAGAAGUCCCUGAAUGCGCUUCUUUGAGGUUUUCAUCAUGAAGGGUGAGCAUAGAUUCAGCAUCCAAG
Long non-coding RNA from Eucalyptus grandis, 191 nucleotides. RefSeq lists it as uncharacterized. Lineage: Eukaryota; Viridiplantae; Streptophyta; Magnoliopsida; Myrtales; Myrtaceae. The record is from RefSeq and is a predicted model, not a curated record. The transcript has 3 exons.